AAUGAACGCUGGCGGCAGGCCUAACACAUGCAAGUCGAACGGAUCCUUCGGGAUUAGUGGCGGACGGGUGAGUAACGCGUGGGAACAUACCCUUUGGUACGGAAUAGCCUCGGGAAACUGGGAGUAAUACCGUAUGUGCUCGAAAGAGGAAAGAUUUAUCGCCAAAGGAUUGGCCCGCGUUGGAUUAGGUAGUUGGUGGGGUAAUGGCCUACCAAGCCGACGAUCCAUAGCUGGUUUGAGAGGAUGAUCAGCCACACUGGGACUGAGACACGGCCCAGGCUCCUACGGGAGGCAGCAGUGGGGAAUCUUAGACAAUGGGGGAAACCCUGAUCUAGCCAUGCCGCGUGAUCGAUGAAGGCCUUAGGGUUGUAAAGAUCUUUCAGAUGGGAAGAUAAUGACGGUACCAUCAGAAGAAGCCCCGGCUAACUCCGUGCCAGCAGCCGCGGUAAUACGGAGGGGGCUAGCGUUAUUCGGAAUUACUGGGCGUAAAGCGCACGUAGGCGGACUGAAAAGUCAGAGGUGAAAUCCCAGGGCUCAACCUUGGAACUGCCUUUGAAACUCUCAGUCUUGAGGUCGAGAGAGGUGAGUGGAAUUCCGAGUGUAGAGGUGAAAUUCGUAGAUAUUCGGAGGAACACC
This 636-nucleotide ribosomal RNA is filed under the name uncultured bacterium. RNAcentral's name for it is "bacterial SSU rRNA". It matches the Rfam family "Bacterial small subunit ribosomal RNA", at positions 28 to 710 of the family's 1533-position model. The record is from RNAcentral.